CAUUCAUGCAUGCAAGUCGAUGAUGUUUAUUGCAUCUCAGCGCUAUGAGCAUGUUUGAAUGGACCCGAAAGGUGGUGAACUAUUCUUGGGGAAGUUGACGUCAGAGGAAACUCUGAUUGAGGACUUAUGUGUUACUGACGUGCAAUUCGUUCAUUUUACCUGUGAAUAGGGGCGAAAGACUAAUCGAACCACCUAGUAGCUGGUUCCCCCCGAAGUUUCUCCUAGGAUAGCGGGCGAGAUCUUUAUCAUGUAUAGUAGAGAAAUGAUUGGCGGAUAGGGGGAUGUAUGUUCUUCACCGACUCUCAAACUACAAACGUACAUUGAGUUGAAUACUUAACAGAUUCUUCUCGUAGAAAUACUCGCCUCGUGGACCGUUUUUGGUAAGCAGAUACGGUGCUUUGGAAUGCUCCAAGCCUGAUGAUAAGGGAUAUUGCUAUCGGUUUAAUGCUCUAAAAAGGUGUUAAUACAUUUAGACAGUCCGACGGUGGCCAUGGAAGUUGGAAUCCGCUAAGGAGUGUGUAACAACUCACGGACCGAAUGUAUUAGCCCUUAAAAUUGACUGUGCUCAAACCGUUCGCCCGAAACAUCAGAGGCCUUGUUUUAAUAAGGUUUUGUAGGGGGGUGUAUCGGAUGCGUAGAAGGCCUGUUGUGAAACAAGCUGGAGCUUCCGGUAGUGCAGAUCUUGGUAGGAGUAGCAGUGUUUUAGUAUUAUCCUUAAAGACGGAUGUAGACGAGGUUUUCAUAGACACAUCGUUUGGCUAUGAGUGAGUCGAUCUUAACGCAUUAAUCUGCGGAAAAGGAAUAGAGUUUAAAUUCUCUAACUGGCUUCUUUUGCUAGAGAUGGUGACAUCAUUAUCUUUCACGUUUCUAUGGGUUGCCUGGGGCGUGCGUUAUCUAUGCACUAUAACUAGUUGCCGACUGUCGAAGAGGCUUGACCUAAGAAACAGUUUAAAGCUAGGAAAUAUGGUCCUCUUUGGAUCACCCGGUGUCUCCUAUGGAGCUCUAAGUGUGAGAAUUCUUGCAGUGAGCCAAUCGUACCAACAACCGCAUCAGGUCUCUAAGGUUCAUAACCUUUCGUUUAUGGAAUAAAAUAGGUGAGGGAAAUCGGCAAAUUAGAUCUGUAACCUUGGGAAAAGGAUUGGCUCUGCAGGCAUUUCAUCGGAUCGUUUCUUUCAUUUCGGUUUCUGACUCUGUUGGAGAUUGAUAUUCAUGAUUGAUGCGUGAACUUGGACAUGUGCCAUAGUAGAACUGAGACUAUGAGGGGAAUCCGACAGUUUAACUAAAACCAAGCAUUCUGCUAGUGUCCUUUACUGAAACACAGAAUGUGAAUUCUGCCCGGUGCUUUGAAUGUCAAUGUGAGGAGACUCAUUUAAGCGCGGGUUAACGGCAGGCGUAACUAUGACGCUUUCAACGUAGCAAAAUGCCUCGUCAUCUAAUUAGUGACUCGCAUGAACGGAUUAAUGAGAUUCCUACUGUCCCUGUCAAUUUUCCAGCGAAUCUACAGCUUAGGGAACGGGCUAAGCUUAGACAGAACGGCAAGAAGACCCUGUUGAGGUUGACUCUAGCUAAUUUUUGUACAGUUGCACAAGUGGUGUAGUGGAUGUGGGAGCUCCGGCGAAAGUGAAACACCACAAUGUUUGAAGCCGCUGAACUUACUCUUUACCUUCUAGUUCUGCUAUCAAGUAAAUCUUAGUUUUAAAGAGGACAUUCACUGGUUGGGAGUUUGGCUGGGGCGGUACAUUUGUUAAAAGUCACCACAAGUGUCCAAAGGCUAUCUCAAUAAGAACAGAAAUCUUAUGUGGACUAAAAGGAGAAAAGAUAGCUUUACUUUUUCGUUCAUAAGCCGAAAGAGUUGUGAAAGCAUGGCCUAUCGAUCCUUUCGCGAAGCAGGAGUUGCGCCGAGAGGUGUCUGAAAACUUACCACAGGGAUAACUGAUUUGUGGCAGCCAAGCGUUCAUAGCGACGUUGCUUUUUGAUCCUUCGAUGUCGGCUCUUCCUAUC
This 2001-nucleotide ribosomal RNA is filed under the name Globobulimina sp. RNAcentral's name for it is "eukaryotic LSU rRNA". It matches the Rfam family "Eukaryotic large subunit ribosomal RNA", at positions 752 to 2898 of the family's 3401-position model. The record is from RNAcentral. Lineage: Eukaryota; Foraminifera; Rotaliida; Buliminidae.